CCUACGGGAGGCAGCAGUGGGGAAUAUUGGGCAAUGGACGCAAGUCUGACCCAGCAACGCCGCGUGAAGGAAGAAGGCUUUCGGGUUGUAAACUUCUUUUAAGGGGGAAGAGCAGAAGACGGUACCCCUUGAAUAAGCCACGGCUAACUACGUGCCAGCAGCAGCGGUAAUACGUAGGUGGCAAGCGUUGUCCGGAUUUACUGGGUGUAAAGGGCGUGCAGCCGGAUGGACAAGUCAGAUGUGAAAUCCACGGGCUCAACCCGUGAACUGCAUUUGAAACUGUUUCCCUUGAGUGUCGGAGAGGUAAUCGGAAUUCCUUGUGGAGCGGUGAAAUGCGUAGAUAUAAGGAAGAACACCAGUGGCGAAGGCGGGUUACUGGACGAUAACUGACGGUGAGGCGCGAAAGCGUGGGGAGCGAACAGGAUUAGAUACCCGAGUAGUC
RNAcentral lists this ribosomal RNA (442 nucleotides) under uncultured bacterium. RNAcentral's name for it is "partial 16S ribosomal RNA". It matches the Rfam family "Bacterial small subunit ribosomal RNA", at positions 338 to 795 of the family's 1533-position model. The record is from RNAcentral.